Molecule: non-coding RNA, 737 nt
Organism: Pelobates cultripes (western spadefoot toad)
Lineage: Eukaryota; Metazoa; Chordata; Amphibia; Anura; Pelobatidae
Source: the annotation of a GenBank genome assembly
GUCCACUGGUACGCACCAGUAGUAGGUGCAGUCAGAUUAUAGCCUCUCCCUCGUGGUUCCGGCGCUCAGUUAGUGAGUCAGAGCACACGCUCAGAGAUUCUCAGCCUGCGCUUUGACAACAUUGAAAGUCAGAGCUGUGAAGGAGCGGGUAUGGCAAAGAGCUAGUGAUUAGCAUAACAUCAAUAUCUGUUAUAAAACCAGGAAAAGGUGGGCACCAUUGCACUGAUUUGGUGGUGCAAUGGGCCACUUGACUGAUUUUGCCCCCCAGGCCUAAGGCUGCCAGCCCUCCCCUGCCCGUGUAUAAGCUUUAUGGUGUUUUGGAAAGUUACAGACUCAAAUAUAUUGUUUGCCCAUUUCAGUUUUUACACAUUGAAAUUUGCCAGAUUGGUUUGCUGGGCCUAUGUUGCCUCGGAGACCGUAUUGGCAGACCAAGAAUGAGAAUUACCUGCAUCUUAGCAUACCAUUUACCAUUUGCACAAGUAGACAAGGCAGGGUAGUCAAAAUGGGGUAUGUCCAUUUUUUUGUAGUAGAAACUUAGUCAAAAAUCCUGGCUAAAUGUAGUGUUUAUAUUUGUUUUUUGCAUUAUGCAAAACACAAACUGCACUUUCACUGAUAUUAUUGUCAAUGUUUUACUGCUCUAACAUUCAUUUGUGCUCAACGAUGUGAGGGGAAUUUGUGAAGGAGAGGGUUUGCCACAAACACGUUUGACAUCUGAUUCCAGAGAGGGUAGAUUGGGG